GAACGCGAAGAACCUUACCAGGUCUUGACAUCCUUUGACAAUCCUAGAGAUAGGACUUUCCCUUCGGGGACAAAGUGACAGGUGGUGCAUGGUUGUCGUCAGCUCGUGUCGUGAGAUGUUGGGUUAAGUCCCGCAACGAGCGCAACCCCUAUUGUUAGUUGCCAGCAUUCAGUUGGGCACUCUAAUGAGACUGCCGGUGACAAACCGGAGGAAGGUGGGGAUGACGUCAAAUCAUCAUGCCCCUUAUGUCCAGGGCUACACACGUGCUACAAUGGUCGGUACAAAGUGACGCGAAGCCGCGAGGUGAAGCAAAUCGCAGAAAGCCGGCCUUAGUUCGGAUUGGAGUCUGCAACUCGACUCCGUGAAGUUGGAAUCGCUAGUAAUCGUGGAUCAGCAUGCCACGGUGAAUACGUUCCCGGGUCUUGUACACACCG
Molecule: ribosomal RNA, 434 nt
Filed under: uncultured bacterium
Lineage: Bacteria
Description: bacterial SSU rRNA
Rfam family: Bacterial small subunit ribosomal RNA
Source: RNAcentral